GGACGAACGCUGGCGGCAGGCUUAACACAUGCAAGUCGAACGCAUCCUUCGGGAUGAGUGGCAGACGGGUGAGUAACGCGUGGGAACGUGCCCAGAGGUACGGACUAACAACGGGAAACUGUUGCUAAUGCCGUAUACGCCCUUAGGGGGAAAGAUUUAUCGCCGAUAGAUGGGCCCGCGUUCGAUUAGAUAGUUGGUGGGGUAACGCCUACCAAGUCUACGAUCGAUAGCUGGUCU
RNAcentral lists this ribosomal RNA (237 nucleotides) under uncultured Alphaproteobacteria bacterium. RNAcentral describes it as "partial 16S ribosomal RNA". It matches the Rfam family "Bacterial small subunit ribosomal RNA", at positions 27 to 293 of the family's 1533-position model. The record is from RNAcentral. Lineage: Bacteria; Pseudomonadati; Pseudomonadota; Alphaproteobacteria.